GACGAACGCUGGCGGCGUGCUUAACACAUGCAAGUCGAACGGAAAGGCCCUGCUUUUGUGGGGUGCUCGAGUGGCGAACGGGUGAGUAACACGUGAGUAACCUGCCCUUGACUUUGGGAUAACUUCAGGAAACUGGGGCUAAUACCGGAUAGGAGCUCCUGCUGCAUGGUGGGGGUUGGAAAGUUUCGGCGGUUGGGGAUGGACUCGCGGCUUAUCAGCUUGUUGGUGGGGUAGUGGCUUACCAAGGCUUUGACGGGUAGCCGGCCUGAGAGGGUGACCGGCCACAUUGGGACUGAGAUACGGCCCAGACUCCUACGGGAGGCAGCAGUGGGGAAUAUUGCACAAUGGGCGGAAGCCUGAUGCAGCAACGCCGCGUGCGGGAUGACGGCCUUCGGGUUGUAAACCGCUUUCGCCUGUGACGAAGCGUGAGUGACGGUAAUGGGUAAAGAAGCACCGGCUAACGACGUG
This 468-nucleotide ribosomal RNA is filed under the name uncultured bacterium. Its description in RNAcentral is "partial 16S ribosomal RNA". It matches the Rfam family "Bacterial small subunit ribosomal RNA", at positions 28 to 507 of the family's 1533-position model. The record is from RNAcentral.